AAAUCCAGAGCUCGACACUAAAAUUAUGCACAAAAGAGCCUCGAAACCUAUUCUGAGUUACUUUGAGUUUUGAAUACUCAACUUUGAAUAUAAAAAUCAAGAUAGUUUACCAUUAUAUCGUUAGAAACUGAAUGAAUCUGAAAUUUACAUGGUUCCGUAAUUAUCUACAUCCACAAAGAAAGCAAGAGAGAUUAUCUACUAUAUAUAUCUAUACGAAGAAAAUAAAAAUAAGCUUACACUUUAUGUUUCUUCAGGUAAAAAAAAUAAAUCUUUUAAUAAAAUCCUAUCUUCCUUUUAUUCCAACGAAAAAGUUCAAAUAAAAUACCAAAAAUAAACUUUCUGAAAAAUCAUAAUCCAGAAAACUAAAUUAGAGAAAUAUAGAAAUUUUUGAUCAAAUCAUAGUCGAGCUUCACUACAACAAAAACGGUCUAUAGCGACACUUUUAAAUGUAGGUACAUGUCAAAAAAGUGCUGCUAGCUAAAAUUACCGACACUUUUAAAAAAUGUUGCUAUAUAUGGGGUUGCUAGGUAUAUAGUGACAGUUAAAGAGUGUCGCUAUAACCUAAAAGAGUGCUGCUAAUUUUUCAACACUUAUUUAAGCAUUUAGCAACCGCCGAAACUCUAUCUCGUUGGCUGCGGUGGAGGAGGAGGACGACAGGAAAGGCUCUUCGUAUAGAAUUUCAGUGGAUUGAGUGAAGAGAGAAGAAAAGAUGGUAAUUGAUUUUUUUUUUUUCUUUUCUGUUUGUAAUCGGGUCAAAUGGACUAGGUGUGGUUGGUUGAGUAGAGUAAUCUUUUAUUUUUAGUUGGAUUGGGCUUUAUAUUUAGGCAUAAGUAGAUGUUUUUUUAAGUUUUAGCAUAAAUGGGACACUUAAUCAAAAGUGUCCCAAACAUGUGCCCCUAUAACCUAAUUUUGUUGUAGUGCUUGAGGCGGGUGAGACUCUCGUCGACGCCAUGCGACACGCGCUUGGCGCU
This 971-nucleotide long non-coding RNA is filed under the name Ananas comosus (pineapple). RNAcentral's name for it is "long non-coding RNA (ACOM_LNC024041)". The record is from RNAcentral. Lineage: Eukaryota; Viridiplantae; Streptophyta; Magnoliopsida; Poales; Bromeliaceae.